GACGAACGCUGGCGGCGUGCUUAACACAUGCAAGUCGAACGAUGAAGCCGGAGCUUGCUCUGGUGAAUUAGUGGCGAACGGGUGAGUAACACGUGAGUAACCUGCCCUUGACUCUGGGAUAACUGCGGGAAACUGUAGCUAAUACCGGAUACGACCCUCGGAGGCAUCUCCUGGGGGUGGAAAGAAUUUCGGUCAAGGAUGGACUCGCGGCCUAUCAGCUAGUUGGUGAGGUAAAGGCUCACCAAGGCGACGACGGGUAGCCGGCCUGAGAGGGUGACCGACCACACUGGGACUGUGACACGGCCCAGACUCCUACGGGAGGCAGCAGUGGGGAAUAGUGCACAAUGGGCGCAAGCCUGAUGCAGCAACGCCGCGUGAGGGAUGACGGCCUUCGGGUUGUAAACCUCUUUUAGCAGGGAAGAAGCGAAAGUGACGGUACCUGCAGAAAAAGCACCGGCUAACUACGUGCCAGCCGCCGCGGUAA
This 484-nucleotide ribosomal RNA is filed under the name uncultured bacterium. RNAcentral describes it as "partial 16S ribosomal RNA". It matches the Rfam family "Bacterial small subunit ribosomal RNA", at positions 28 to 523 of the family's 1533-position model. The record is from RNAcentral.